GAUGAACGCUGGCGGCGUGCCUAAUACAUGCAAGUCGAGCGAACGGACGAGAAGCUUGCUUCUCUGAUGUUAGCGGCGGACGGGUGAGUAACACGUGGAUAACCUACCUAUAAGACUGUGAUCACCUCGGGAAACCGGCGCUAAUCCCGGAUAAUAUCCUGAUCCGCAUGGUUCCUAAGUGACAGACGGUCUUGCUGUCACUUAUAGAUGGAUCCGCGCUGCAUUAGCUAGUUGUUAAGGUAACGGCUUACCAAGGCAACGAUGCAUAGCCGACCUGAGAGGGUGAUCGGCCACACGGGAACUGAGACACGCACCAGAUUCCUAAGGGAGGCAGCAGUAGGGAAUCUGCAGCAAUAGGCGAGAGCCUGACGGAGCAACGCGGCGUGGGAGAUGAAGGGCUUCGGAUCGUAAAACUCUGUUAUUGGGGAAGAACAGAUGUGUAAUGAACCGUGCACAACUUGACGGUACCUAAUCAGAAAGCCACGGCUAACUACGUG
RNAcentral lists this ribosomal RNA (497 nucleotides) under uncultured bacterium. RNAcentral's name for it is "partial 16S ribosomal RNA". It matches the Rfam family "Bacterial small subunit ribosomal RNA", at positions 28 to 507 of the family's 1533-position model. The record is from RNAcentral.